This 312-nucleotide small nuclear RNA is filed under the name Microtus ochrogaster (prairie vole). Its description in RNAcentral is "7SK RNA (ENSMOCG00000009651.1)". It matches the Rfam family "7SK RNA". Rfam says of the family: 7SK was discovered as an abundant small nuclear RNA in the mid-70s but a possible function has only recently been suggested. Two independent studies have found that 7SK RNA binds the CDK9/cyclin T complex (known as elongation factor P-TEFb). The record is from RNAcentral. Lineage: Eukaryota; Metazoa; Chordata; Mammalia; Rodentia; Cricetidae.
GGAUGUGAGGGCGAGCUGGCUGCGACAUCUGUCACCCCAUUGGUCACCAGGGUUGAUUCGGCUGAUCUGGCUGGCUAGGCGGGUGUCCCCUUCCUCCCUCACCGCUCCAUGUGUGUCCCUCCUGAAGCUGCGCACUCUGUCAAAGAGAACAACCUACCCUGAACAGAGGAGGACCUGUCUUCAGUCAAGGGUAUAUGAGUAGCUGCGCUCCCCUGCUAGAACCUCCAAACAAGCUCUCAAGGUCCACUUUUUCUUCUAUCAAGUUCAGUGUGGUCAGAAUUAUAUUGAGGUCCUUAAUCCAUUUGGACUUGA